CAACCCCAUGUCAGGCAGGAUUACCCGUUGAGUUUAAGCAUAUCAAUAAGCUAAGAAAAAGAAACUUACAAGGAUUCCCUUAGUAAGAGUGAGCAAAAAGAGAAUAGCGCAGCCUUAGAAUCGAGCAUCUCUGUCGUCUGAAUUAUAGUCUGGAGAAGCGUCCUCAGUGGCGAACCGGGCCCAAGUCCCCUGGAAAUGGACGUCAGAGAUGGUAAGGGCCCCAUUAUGCCUAGACCCUAUCGCACCAUGAGGCGCUAUCUACCAGUCGGGUUGUUUGGCAAUGCAUCCCAAAUCAAGUGAUGAAUUUUGUCUAAGCCUAAAUACGGGUGAGAGAUCGAUAGCAAACAAGUACCGCAAGGGAAAGUGAAAAGGACUUUGAAAAGAGAUUCAAAGAAUGCUUGAAAUUAUUAGGAGGGAAGUGGAUGAGGGUCAGUGAUGAGCCCCGGUCAGCUAUGGAACGGCGACAAGCUGAUCUGCCCAUCGACUUAGGGCAUGGACCAACAUCAAUUUGGGGCAUUGCAAAAGCCCAGGCUCUCAAUAUGAUCGUGGAACGUCGUCUCCUCAAUUAUGGAAGGUAGUGCGUACCUCUACCAUGCUUCAGAAUUUUUGUAUUUCGGACACUGGCCUGUAGGUUCCCCAUUCGACCCGUCUUAAAACACGGAUUAAGGAGUCUGCCAUGUGUGCGAGUCAAUGAGCGAGUAAACCCGUAAGGCUUAAGGAAGUUGAUUGGUGGGAUCCCUCAAAGGGAUGCACCAUCAACCGACCUUGAUAUUCUAAGAAGGGUUCGAGUGUGAGCAUACUUGUCGGGACCUGAAAUAUGGUAAACUAUACCUGAGCGGGGCAAAGCCAGAGGAAAUUCUGGUAGAGAACCGCAGCGAUACUGACGUGCAAAUUUUUUAUCUUACUUGAGUAUAGGGGUAAAAGUCUAAUCAAACCGUCUAGUAGCUGGUUCCCUCUGAAUUUUCAUUCAGGAUAGCUGGAGCUCGCGUGAGAGUUCUCUUAGGUAAAGCCAAUAAUUAGAGUCCUUAGGGGCGCAAUGCAUUCGACUUAUUCUCAAACUUAAAAUAGGUAGGACGGCGUAGCUGCUUUGUUGAGCCGUACCUAGGUAUCAAGAGCUCUAAGUAGGCCAUUUUUUAUUAGUAGAACCGGCGAUGCGUGAUGAAACGGAAGCCGGGUUACGAUGCAAAACUUUAUGCUAAUCUGGAUCCCACAAAGGGUGGUGGUCGAUUAAGACAGUAGGACAGUGUUUAUGUAAGUCAAAAUCCUCCAAGGAGUGUGAAACAACUCACCUGUAGAAUCAACUAGACCCAAAAAUAGAUGGCGUUUAAGCACGUGACCUACACCCGAUCAUAGGGGCAAGUGCCAGGCCCUGAUAAUUAGAAAGGUACGGCAGUCGCUGCAAAACCUUAGGUGCGAGCCCAAGUGCUAGUGGUUGUCAGUGCAAAUCAUGGUGGUAGUAGAAAAUAUUCAAAUGAGAACUCUGAAUGCCAAAGAGCGGAAAGGUUCCAUGUUAACAGCACUUGCACAUGGGUUAGUCUAUCCUAAGGGUCGGGGAAACCCUUAUAGAUAGCGCGUUUUGUGCGUACUCCAAAAGGGAUUCGGAUUAAAAUUCCUAAACCAGGACGUAGUGGUCGAAGGCAAUGUUAGAAAGUCUGGAGAUGUCGGUGGGAGCCUCGGGAAGAGUUAUCUUUUCUAUUUAAUAUCCUGCCAACCCUGAAAUCGGUUUAGUCGGAGGUAGGGUCUAGUGACUGGAAGAGCACCACACGUCAUGUAGUGUCCGGUGCGCUCCUAGUGGCCCUUGAAAAUCUGGAGGACUGAAUGUCUUCCACCCCUGGUCAUACUCGUAACCGCAUCAGGUCUCCAAGGUAAACAACCUCUAGUCGAUGGUAUAAUAUAGGCAAGGGUAGUCGGCAAAAUAGAUCUGUAACUUUGGGAAAAGAAUUGGCUCUGAGGGAUAGGAACAAGGGUCCCAGUCCUGAACCCAUCGGCUAUUAGUGGACUGCUAAAGCUGCUUCUGCGGCGAGAAUGGGUCACCACGGGCCGGCCGGGGGACGGACUAGGAAUGGUUCCUUCGGGGGCCUUCUCCGUGCGUCGAACAGCCAACUCAGAACUGGUAUGAACAAGGGAAAUCCUAGUGUUUAAUUAAAAUAAAGCAUUGCAAUGGUCCCAACGGAUGUUCAUGCAAUGUGAUUUCUGCCCCAGUUCUCUGAAUGUCAAAGUGAAGAAAUUCAAACAACCACGGGUAAACGGCAAGAGUAACUAUGACUCACUUAAGGUAGCCAAAUGCCUCUUCAUCUAAUUGGUGACGCACAUGAAUGGAUUAUCGACUUUCCACUGUCCCUAUGUACUAUCCAGCAAAACCACGACCAAGGGAAUGGGUUUGGCAGAAUAAGUGGGGAAAGAAGACCCUGUUGAGCUUGACUCUAGUCCAACUUUGUGAAAUGACUCAAGAGGUGUAGUAUAAGUGGGAUCCGAUAGGCGAAAGUGAAAUACCUCUACUUUUAAUGUUAUUUUACUUAUUUCGUGAAUCUAAAGUGGGGCAUUGCCCCUCUUUUUGUACCCAAGGCUCGCUCUGUAGGCCAAUCUAGGUAGAUGACAUUGUUAAGUGGGGAGUUUGGCUAGGGAGGCACAUCUGUUAAAAGAUAACAUAGGUAUCCUAAGAUGAGCUCAACGAGAACAGAAAUCUCGUGUGAGAUAGAAGCGUAAAAGCUCUUUUGAUUCUGAGUUCCAGUGCGAAUAUGAAUCAUGAAAUUAUGUCCUAAUGAUUCUUUAGACCUUCAAAAUUUGAAGCUAGAGAUAUUAGAAAAGUUACCACCGGGAUAACUGGUUUGUGGCAGCUAAGAAUUCAUAGCGACAUUUCCUUUUUAUCCUUAGAUGUCAGCUCUUCCUAUCAUUGUGAAGCAAAACUCACCAAGUGUUGGAUUGUUCACCCACCAAUAGGGAACGUGAGCUGGGUUUAGACCAUCGUGAGAUAGGUUAGUAUUACCCUACUGAUGAUAGUGUCACAAUAGUAAUUCAACCAAGUAUAAGAGGAACUGUUGAUUCACACAAUUGGUCAUCUUGAUUGCCUGAAAAGCCAGUGGUGCGAAGCUACCGUGUGCUGGAUAAUGACUGAACGCCUCAAAGUAAGAAUUAAGGCUUGAAGUGAUGCAUGCAUCUGCCGUCCACUUUUUGAUCCAUAGUAGGGGCCUCGGCCCCCAAGGGCACGUGUCGUUGCCUAAGCCAUCGCGGUGAAAGGGUCACAGUGGCUGUCUUGAAGUACAAUUUCCAUCAAACAGCGAGUAGAAUCCUUUGUAGAAGACUUAAAUACGUGACAGGGUAUUGUAAGUGGCAGAGUGGCCUUGCUGUAAUGAUCCAUUAAGAUUCAGUCCUUUGUCGCUCCUGUUCGU
Molecule: non-coding RNA, 3389 nt
Organism: Capsicum annuum
Lineage: Eukaryota; Viridiplantae; Streptophyta; Magnoliopsida; Solanales; Solanaceae
Source: Rfam